This 497-nucleotide ribosomal RNA is filed under the name uncultured bacterium. RNAcentral's name for it is "partial 16S ribosomal RNA". It matches the Rfam family "Bacterial small subunit ribosomal RNA", at positions 28 to 507 of the family's 1533-position model. The record is from RNAcentral.
GAUGAACGCUGGCGGCGUGCCUAAUACAUGCAAGUCGAGCGAACAGAUAAGGAGCUUGCUCCUUUGACGUUAGCGGCGGACGGGUGAGUAACACGUGGGUAACCUACCUAUAAGACUGGAAUAACUCCGGGGAACCGGGGCUAAUGCCGGAUAACAUUUAGAACCGCAUGGUUCUAAAGUGAAAGAUGGUUUUGCUAUCACUUAUAGAUGGACCCGCGCCGUAUUAGCUAGUUGGUAAGGUAACGGCUUACCAAGGCAACGAUACGUAGCCGACCUGAGAGGGUGAUCGGCCACACUGGAACUGAGACACGGUCCAGACUCCUACGGGAGGCAGCAGUAGGGAAUCUUCCGCAAUGGGCGAAAGCCUGACGGAGCAACGCCGCGUGAGUGAUGAAGGUCUUCGGAUCGUAAAACUCUGUUAUUAGGGAAGAACAAAUGUGUAAGUAACUGUGCACGUCUUGACGGUACCUAAUCAGAAAGCCACGGCUAACUACGUG